UGUGUAGGCGGUUCUCUAAGUUUGGUGUGAAAUCUCCCGGCUCAACCGGGAGGGUGCGCCGAAAACUGGAGGACUGGAGUGCGGGAGAGGAGAGUGGAAUUCCUGGUGUAGCGGUGAAAUGCGUAGAUAUCAGGAGGAACACCGGCGGUGUAGACGGCUCUCUGGACCGUAACUGACGCUGAGACACGAAAGCGUGGGGAGCAAACAGGAUUAGAUACCCUGGUAGUCCACGCCCUAAACGAUGCACAUUUGGUGUGGGCCAUUCAGUUGGUCCGUGCCGGAGCUAACGCGUUAAAUGUGCCGCCUGGGGAGUACAGUCGCAAGGCUGAA
This 330-nucleotide ribosomal RNA is filed under the name uncultured bacterium. RNAcentral describes it as "bacterial SSU rRNA". It matches the Rfam family "Bacterial small subunit ribosomal RNA", at positions 568 to 898 of the family's 1533-position model. The record is from RNAcentral.